CAGGAAAUAGUUUAAUAAGAAUAUAAGCUUUGGAAGCUUACGGUGUAAGUAUUUAUUUUCUUGA
This 64-nucleotide transfer RNA is filed under the name Lepidurus apus apus. Its description in RNAcentral is "tRNA-Pro". It matches the Rfam family "tRNA". Rfam says of the family: Transfer RNA (tRNA) molecules are approximately 80 nucleotides in length. Their secondary structure includes four short double-helical elements and three loops (D, anti-codon, and T loops). Lineage: Eukaryota; Metazoa; Arthropoda; Branchiopoda; Notostraca; Triopsidae. The record is from RNAcentral.